AACGCUGGCGGCGUGCCUAAUACAUGCAAGUCGAACGAACUCUGGUAUUGAUUGGUGCUUGCAUCAUGAUUUACAUUUGAGUGAGUGGCGAACUGGUGAGUAACACGUGGGAAACCUGCCCAGAAGCGGGGGAUAACACCUGGAAACAGAUGCUAAUACCGCAUAACAACUUGGACCGCAUGGUCCGAGUUUGAAAGAUGGCUUCGGCUAUCACUUUUGGAUGGUCCCGCGGCGUAUUAGCUAGAUGGUGGGGUAACGGCUCACCAUGGCAAUGAUACGUAGCCGACCUGAGAGGGUAAUCGGCCACAUUGGGACUGAGACACGGCCCAAACUCCUACGGGAGGCAGCAGUAGGGAAUCUUCCACAAUGGACGAAAGUCUGAUGGAGCAACGCCGCGUGAGUGAAGAAGGGUUUCGGCUCGUAAAACUCUGUUGUUAAAGAAGAACAUAUCUGAGAGUAACUGUUCAGGUAUUGACGGUAUUUAACCAGAAAGCCACGGCUAACUA
This 506-nucleotide ribosomal RNA is filed under the name Lactiplantibacillus plantarum. RNAcentral's name for it is "bacterial SSU rRNA". It matches the Rfam family "Bacterial small subunit ribosomal RNA", at positions 32 to 503 of the family's 1533-position model. Lineage: Bacteria; Bacillati; Bacillota; Bacilli; Lactobacillales; Lactobacillaceae. The record is from RNAcentral.